GAAAUGCGAUAAGUAAUGUGAAUUGCAGAAUUCAGUGAAUCAUCGAAUCUUUGCACGCACAUUGCGCCCCUUGGUAUUCCAUGGGGCAUGCCUGUUCGAGCGUCAUUUGUACCCUCAAGCUUUGCUUGGUGUUGGGCGUCUUGUCCUCUUCUGGAGGACUCGCCUCAAAACAAUUGGCAGCCGUCAUAUUGGUAUCGGAGCGCAGCACAAGUCGCACUUUGUUCCAUGAAUGUUGGCAUCCAUCAAGACCAUUCUUGCACUCUUGACCUCGGAUCAGGGAGGAGGACCCGCUGAAUUUAA
Molecule: unclassified non-coding RNA, 300 nt
Filed under: uncultured Pleosporales
Lineage: Eukaryota; Fungi; Ascomycota; Dothideomycetes; Pleosporales
Description: sequence contains ITS1
Rfam family: 5.8S ribosomal RNA (bases 1-105)
Source: RNAcentral